UACGUAGGGCGCGAGCGUUGUCCGGAAUUAUUGGGCGUAAAGAGCUCGUAGGCGGUUUGUCGCGUCGGUUGUGAAAACCCAAGGCUCAACCUUGGGCCUGCAAUCGAUACGGGCAGACUAGAGUACUGCAGGGGAGACUGGAAUUCCCGGUGUAGCGGUGAAAUGCGCAGAUAUCGGGAAGAACACCCGUGGCGAAGGCGGCUCUCUGGGACGGUACUGACGCUGAGACGCGAAAGCGUGGGGAGCGAACAGG
RNAcentral lists this ribosomal RNA (253 nucleotides) under uncultured bacterium. RNAcentral's name for it is "partial 16S ribosomal RNA". It matches the Rfam family "Bacterial small subunit ribosomal RNA", at positions 524 to 776 of the family's 1533-position model. The record is from RNAcentral.